Molecule: non-coding RNA, 850 nt
Organism: Leptonychotes weddellii (Weddell seal)
Lineage: Eukaryota; Metazoa; Chordata; Mammalia; Carnivora; Phocidae
Source: RefSeq, a predicted model, not a curated record
CAGAGUUUUACCAUGCGGAAAGAUAAAUAUUCUUUACACCAAACACUACUUUUCCUGUUUUAAUUUCCUCAUUGGACUUUCAGGCCACACCAGGAACAAAGGUUUAGCAUUCCUACAGAACAUGAAGAAAGGAGUCAAUUCUCCUGACUGGCCUCUGUGAUUUGGUUAUAUCACAAAUGGAUUUUUGGAUAUAACAAUGGAUAUACCAAUGGAUAAUGGAUAUAUCACAUAUACAGAAAAGACUCCUCUGUUAACCUCUGGGAUUCCCUAACUGAAAACAAAUGUUGUCGCUUGCUGACCUCACAGAUCUGAUCUCAAGUCCAGCGAUUAAGUGCUACUUCUUCCCAUAAACAACAAUGACAGAGCACGAAGAAAGGGUGAGGCGACAAACGUUCUUACCACUGCUGACCACUGUCUCCUUCAGACAGGUCAACUCUGUACUUGAACAAAAUGUGCUCAAUGACACUGGCUCUGUUCCUGUGGGGAAAGCGCUCCCCUCCCCCCACAUCCCCAUGACAAUUUGCUAAAAUUGUUCACAGCCAUCAGCCCUCUCUCAGACUUCAGGCUGCAGCGAGGAGAAAGACAAUUGGCUCAUGAGCCCAGAACACAUCUCUAUUGGAUGCUGACUGCAGCAGCAUAGGCAGUAAGGGUGAAAAAAAAUCUCUUGAAGAAAAAAAAGCAGUAUCACAACACAGGCUAUCUGAGCCUGGCUCCUUCUCUCACUCCACUCCCACCCCCGACACUUCCACCGACUCUCCAAGGCACGUCCCCAAAUAUCUAAAGAAAUGACACUCCACGAAAGUUACUUAAAAAUCAUCACUGGGAAUAAAACAGGAAUUUGGGGAAAGAA